Parus major (Great Tit) is the source of this 1185-nucleotide long non-coding RNA. RefSeq lists it as uncharacterized. The transcript is spliced from 2 exons. The record is from RefSeq and is a predicted model, not a curated record. Lineage: Eukaryota; Metazoa; Chordata; Aves; Passeriformes; Paridae.
AGCCAGGCGCACGCCUCCCAUUCACCGCGGGUGCCCGUGGCUCCAAAGGACGCCAGCAUUGGUUAUUCUCCCCGCGGUUGGGCCGGUUUCCCUGCCGGAAAGUGUGUUCUGGGGCAGCACUGCCCGGAUGAGGCACCAGCAUCCCUGACUUCAUGCAAGAGGAAGGAAGCAGCAGCAGGGGCUGAAAUGCCAGUGACACCAGAUAAAACCUAGCUCUGUGCCAUCUUCGUGCCUUGUAAAUAGCAGCAUCUCUGGGGAUUUCUUGACACUUUGCUGAAAUUAGCACCUGUAAAAAGAGCAGCUGCCAAGGCUGAAUUUAAAUAAGACGGGGAGAAUACCAGCAGGAAGAGGGUAGAGAAUGAGAGAGCUCUUGAAUCACUUCCCUCCAUGAAGGCACCUACCUGGAAAUCAACUCCCGUCUCCUUUAGCCCUGCUUAAAGCUAACAUUACUGUAGCAAGAUGCCCACAGCUGCCUCAAAGUGCUGGGCACUGUGCCUGCCCUGCCUGACACAGGCCUGGGCAUGCCAGUGCAGGUGCCCACAUCAUUUGGUCUCCCAUCAAAGCCACCCCCAGCUGCCAAAAUGCCGCUACUCACUAAAACAAGCAGAAGUACAGAAUGUAUGGCCAACCAGCCCUGGCCUUCUCUUAGGCUUGGUUAGGUAUCUCAAGUUCUGUGCAGCAUUAGGGAAUGCAAGCAGGCAGCAGCAACCAUGAAUUACUUUAUUCGCUUUUAAUUGGGACUAGCAGGUGGCACAUGCAGUUUAUUACAAAUGCACAGGAUUUAAACUACUCUUGUGGCAGCUAAAAUGGGAAAUGUGGGGUUUGGAGAGGGGAGAUGCAAGCAGGUGAGGAAGGACUCUAAUGAGCUGUGUCAGCUGAAGCUCAAGACCCCCAUGUUUGCAACUGGCGAUGAGGCACUAACAGCUAAGAGAUCUGGGGGAAGUGGGGUGGGGUGGAGGCUGUAAUACUGGCGCUCCAGGGCUGGCUGUGAGGGUGUUUCCCCUGUGAAGAUGCCCACUGCAUGAAUUGCUGUGAAGGCUGCCAGAGACCAAGCAUAGAGAGGACCAGACGCCUUCCUUGUGGAGGAUGCACCAAAAAAAGAAAAAAAAUGUGAGGAAAAAAAAAAUCAAAUUAAAUGUUUCUCUUUAUUGUUCACUCAGUUCCUUAUUAAAGCAUUUUUCCCUA